Molecule: long non-coding RNA, 2880 nt
Organism: Brassica napus (rape)
Lineage: Eukaryota; Viridiplantae; Streptophyta; Magnoliopsida; Brassicales; Brassicaceae
Exons: 2
Source: RefSeq, a predicted model, not a curated record
UUCUUUUGGAUCAACGCGUCUUAUCAAUUACACCCUUUUGGAGUCGCCUCUUUUUUCAAUCUAUAUAUAUGCUAGUUUCAAAUUAAUUUUCCCUUUUACAUUCACUCAUCGUCCAAGUUUUUAAACAUAUUUAUUUUCCUCUCAUACAGUUCCAUCAUUUCCUUCGUAUCUGUUCUUGUCUCUGCAAUAUUUUAUUUCGAUGUCACUCUUGUUUCGUUAAUUAUAGGAAAGUAAAUCAAUCAGUGACAGUGGUUGUUGUUUUAUUUGAAGGGGCAUCUAUCUCUUUUAAAGUGUUUCCGAUUGCAUAGGAGGAGAUGGAGUGAAUCAUGUCUUCUUUUUGGCCAACUAAGAUUACUUACCGAUUUCGAAUUUAUUUUGUCUCUGACAUUGGUACUUUCCAAGUUUUUUACUGCAGUUAAUUAUAAUGUUUUCUACUCAAUUUUCAUUUCACUUUUCUGUAUUUUUGUUAAUUGGUAUUUGAUGCUUUGCCAGAAGAAUUGAUCUGAAAGUCACUUUUUUCUAUUUUCUAAUUCUAUUGAUGUCCCUUUUCAUACGUGUAUUGUUCAAACAACACCCAAUUAUAAUUGAAUAAGGAACAAUUCUCUUUAAGGCACUGAACCAUGUGGGAGACAAACGUUUGAAAAACAGAGAAGACACAGAAGACACAGUUAUCGUAUACUUAAACUCUACCAUACAUAGAAAAGGAGUUAGUGAAGAAUUUGAUGGUUUGAAGUUAAGUGAUACUAUGUAAAAGACAUUUAUGAAUCUUUUUUUUUGGGUUUCAAAAAAGUUGAUCCAGAUUAUUGGGAAGUUGUAAUUAAAAUAUUUUUAAGAGGGCAAAAACAGUCGUGCGUGCGUUGAAGUGGGGAAGUUUGAACUUGGAGAAGAAGUGGAGAGACUCAUACGGUAAGUUCCUAUGAGCAUUUUUGAUCUUUAUGCAGGAUGUUACAAAUCAGUGAAUUACAAAUACAAACAUUGGUUCAGAUCAGUGACAUGUAGUAUUAAUACUGAUUACAGUAUGAUUUGUAAUUCGAUAUAACUUGAAGUAAAAAUUAAUCCUAAGUUCAGUUAAAAAAAAAAAAUAAUCCUAAAUUUAUGUGGUAAGUUUGCAGUAAAAAAUAAGAGUUAAUAUUUUUAAAAACUAUUAACUAGUAACCUUUUUGAUGUAUAAAUUGCACAUAAUUUUAAUAAAAUAAAUGAACAUAUAUACAUAUAAAUAGUAAAAUAUUUAUCAAAAACAAAUAAACCAUUACGAAAACCCCAUUAAGAUAUUUAAAAAUAUUUUAAAUAAGUAUUAAAUUUGAAAAAUAAUAUAUAUUAUUAUCUAAAUAUUAUAAUGUACUAAUAAUAUCUAUUCUAAUAGCAAAACUAAAUGAAAUGAAAUGACUUGAUGCCACACUAACUUAGGGUCAUAUAUAUAGAAUUUUCUGAUUGGUAUUUUUGAAAAAUUAAAUAAAAUUAAUGCUUAAAAUUUUGUAUAAUAAUUAGUUAAAAGUUUGAAUAAUUUGAAAAAUAGGAACAAGAAUGAUUAUAAAAACCUUUGACUAGCACAAAAUUAGGUAGAGUAACUUGUAACACGAAAGUUUUUCAAAAUCACUAUUUUCAUUUUUACUUUUUAGACAGAAAAAUCAAUUAACUUUGUAAAUCAACUUCUAAUACAUGGAAUUUUGGUUGAUGUUGAUUUAAGUUUUGAUUUAGCAAUUUUAUAAAGGAUCUAAGUCAAAAUGGUAACUCAACUAUAACACAUGUUAAAUCAAACUUAAAAUAAAUAAAAUAAAUUUAAUGCAUGAUUGAUAACAUUUUUACGAUCAUAAAUCAAACUUAAUCAAGUCUAGUCUACCACAUGACACCAAUAAAAGUCAUUAACUCUUCAUAAUAUAACUUACUCUAUGUAUUAAUGUGAAUUAGAUGCUUUUGUUUUUUGUACUGGUUAAAAGGUUAUUUAGUUGUAUUACUCUCAUUGUCCCUCAAAAAGAAACACUGCCAAAAAAAAAACAGAUGAAGAAAUAAACCAAGAAUGAGUUCAUCAAAAUGUUUUUUUUUUGAAACUUUGAUGACUUCAUCAAAAUUUUGUGAUGAUAUUUUUAAUAUUCAGAAAAUUCAUGUAACAUGUGAAAGAAAGUCACCCUCAUGGAGGAGGCAAUGAGCAGCAGGACAAGUGAACGUCCUGGCGAAGUGUAAAGUUAAGGUUUUUCUUUACUGCUACACCAGUCCCUCCGGUAACAGCCAUGUAGUUUGUAUUAGCGAAUCCUUGAAGAUCAAUGAGUUUGGUGAAAGGUUUCAAUGGAUUGUUUGUAAACCUAAUGCUCAUUAGUUUAAAGUUGUGUUCCUUCCAACUUAAGCUGGCUACACAGUAAGUCCAUAUUAGUACAACACACAUAGCCUUGUGAAAGAUUACACCCUAACUGCUAAAUGCAAGCCUAAAUAGAUACCCUGAAAACUGAUUUCUUGUUAUGACCAGAGAAAGGUAACUAACAAUAAAAUGAUUUCACCAAAACUCUGGAAGGGAUUUUCCCUCUGCAACCUCUCAUGUAAUACGUUAUUUCAGUUAUGAACGAAUAGUUGGAGUACAACGGCCAUCUUUUGUAUUUGCAAAGCUGCAAUCAAGAAUUUACAAAAUAAAAAAAAAAAUUCAGAAACCAUAGGCAUGAACUCUCUUGUCUUUCAAUUUCUAAAAAGUAUGUGUAGAAAAAAAAAUCGUCAUAUUUGGACAAAACGAAAAUCAGUAAUUCUCUGAGAAUAUAAACUAUUUAAAUGUAUCAUCCUAUUAUUUUUGGCAGGUAACAGUUGUAAGCUUUGGUGACAGAUCAUUACAAUUUUUUUUUAAAGUUGGGGAUUAACAAAUGUAACAACAAAAAAUAGUGAAAGUUGUAAAACAAU